UACGGGGGGGGCAAGCGUUGUUCGGAAUUACUGGGCGUAAAGGGCUCGUAGGUGGCCAACUAAGUCGGACGUGAAAUCCCUCAGCUUAACUGGGGAACUGCGUCCGAUACUGGAUGGCUCGAGUUUGGGAGAGGGAUGCGGAAUUCCAGGUGUAGCGGUGAAAUGCGUAGAUAUCACUUGGAACGCCAAUGGUGAGGACAGCUCGCUGGGGGUGUCCUGACGCUGAGGCGCGAAAGCCAGGGGAGCGAACGGG
This 253-nucleotide ribosomal RNA is filed under the name uncultured bacterium. RNAcentral describes it as "partial 16S ribosomal RNA". It matches the Rfam family "Bacterial small subunit ribosomal RNA", at positions 524 to 776 of the family's 1533-position model. The record is from RNAcentral.